GAUAAAACAUUGGUAAACCUCAUUUUAACAGUCAGAUGCUUUGGUUGUUUGGUGAAAAUCUACAACCCAUUGAUUCGCUGUUUACGUCUGAAAAUGGUAAGUUGAUGGAUGUUUGUUUUAAUGCUGUAAUAAAGUAUGUAAUUAUGAAUUAAUUGUUUCACUUUUGAGGAAACGGUAAUUAUAUUGAAGUGGAAACGUGUAACAAGGAAAAAAGAUAUGUCCUGCGGGUAUUUCCGUGGGUUGUGGAGUAUAGAUAUACCGAAAUUAUGCCAGCAAUGUCUCAUUUUUAAGUUGAAGGAAAAAAAUCCUUUCAUAUUUGUUCUAACCUGUUUCAUGUGUGUAUGUAAAAUCCGCAAAUUUCCAAGCAGGAAACAGAAUCGAACUGUCAUUUGCUUCCACGGAAAUACUCCAAGUAAAAUGUUUUGAUUUUGUCGAGUUAUAUCGAAAGAAUGCCGUCAUUAUAUAGACAUAAAAACUUAUAGCAACAUUCGCAAAAGAAAUACACACACACACAUUAAAUGAAUAUUAAUAUAUAUAUAUAUAUAUUUGUUGUGCAAGAUUUUUUAUGUGAAGUCGUGUGUUGAAACAGAUAUUGUUAUGUUUCGGAAUGGUCAUUAAUGUAAAAAAUAAAUAACACCAAAUAUAUAGUGCGUGUGUUUUUAUUGGCUAAACUGGCAAAAUGACCAUUCCGAAAUAUAAUAAUAUAUAUAUAAAAAUGAGUGAUUUUCAUUUAAUUCAGAAAGAAAAUUGCUGGCAUAAGAGAGGAACGAAUCCCAGAUGCUGUGUGCGUGUAUGUAUAUUUGGUGUAUAGUAUUGUCUGAAAAAAGUUCGAAGGUUAUUCAAAAUAGAGUUGCCACAUCGAACAUGGAAAUGUUGAAGAUUGAAACUUGCAUUCAAAGUUUGAUGAAGUUACGAACAACAAUAAUAAAAGCAUCUGGAAAGAUAUUUUUAGGAUAUCAGUGAGAACAAUUUACCACAGAUAUCGCAGUGAUACAGCCUCUGUCGUUUAUGGCUGUAUUUAUAAGUAGUAUGGUUACAAUCUAUAGAGAAUAUUUAGAACAGAUAACUGUAUGAUGUUGUUUCUCGGCUGUGUAAAUGCAUUUAUUAGUAACGAGAUUAACUUUUCAGACUGUUUUCUUUUUUGUUAAUGUUUUUCUCUUCGUCCAUAAUUUCGCUUUUUGUUGUAUUACAAAAUUCGUAGCAUCGAUGAAAGCUUUACGUUGAUUAUAGGGUUGCUAAGUUAUGGUUGAUUUGGUAACAAAACAGCAACAUUGAGCCACUGGCAUGAAAACUGGUCACUCAAACUUCUUGAAAUAGGAGCCAAAUUCUUUACAAAAUCCACUUACAUUAGUUGGCAGGGUUUUGGGGUUGGACACACCAGAUGUCCCCCCGACAAGUCAUCCUAACGAGACGUCUGCGUUGGCUGGGUCAUGCCCUCCGUCGUCAACCAGGAGAAUUCAUCUACGAAGUAAUUGCCCCAGCUCCCCUUCAGGGUUGGCGAAAGCGAUGUGGUGGACAACGAAAAACAUGGCUGAUGACAGUCAAGGCUGAUCUGGAACCCAACCUAGGCCCCCAUAUCUACGGCGUUCGCCGCUGGGGUAAGUUGUGGUUGGAGAUCACGCGGUCGUUAGCCCCAAAUCGCCAGGCCUGGUCGGCGUUUGUGAGAGAUGCAGCAUUGAGGAUGAAUGAAGCCAGCUCAACCCAACCCGGGUGAACGCUGUCUCAAGUCAAGUCAAGAUACACCAGAUGGUCUAUUCCUCGAUAUACAAUGGCAAUAUCGUGAUAGAAUGUGUUUGAUCAUAUGUUUGUUUAAUAAGGAAUGAUCAGGGAUUAGAUAACAGUGACAACACGUUUCUAGAGAGAGAAAAAAAUGUCCACUCUUCUGUCAGUUUUGGUACGAUGACUAUAAGUAUAGACUAUCAACUAUUAAGUGUAAUAGUUUAUGUUGUAUGAGUAAGUGCAAUCCCCAAGUAAAUAAUAAUAACUACUGUAAAUCCUCGAGUAUAUUUCGCAUUUUCCCCCAAAAAAUUUAAAGGUCAAAAUUCCUAGUACGUACUAUAUACGAGGUUAAAAAUGAAAAAUAUUUUCUAAACAAUGUUCGAGUCUCUAUUUGCUGCCCAGCAAUGUUUAUUCAGACGCAUUUUGUGAUGUCAGGCACGAAAAUACCUUAAGGUAAAUCAUAAAAGAAUCAUCCAUAACAUGCAGUAAGCAACAUUUAUUAAAAUAAAAGUAUUCAGAACACAGAAUAACAUGUAACAAAAACAAUUUGCAAUCUUAUUUACAUUCCCAUAUAACAGUUAAAAACAUCACCAUUAUUGUAUUACGCAUGCGCGGAAGAGUUUGUUCGACUAGGUGCUGCUGGCUUAAUUACACAUGACUCAAGUUAGAGAAGGGGUGCGUAUUAUACACAAGAUUUAGGUUUUUCAGAGAUACAGUCCCCUAAAAAUCCCCAGCGUAUUAUACUCAAGGACAGACUGUACUCGAGGAUUUACGGUAUAUAUAAUCUGAUUGGAUUGUAAUAUACUAGUGCAUCGCAAGUUGUAGAAUAACUAAUAAGGAAAAUGUCCUGAUAUGGAGAAUGGAAUGUAAACUAUGUACUCUUGUGUAUUUAAUAAAGGAUUCAGUUUCAAAUUCUGAGAAGGUAUGAUGACCGAAGACACUAGUCCAGAUAUAAUGUAUACCCAUUAUUGUUCAUUGGCAGUGCCCCGGCAUGGCCACAGCUCGUGAGCUGAAACUAGAUGAAAUAAAAUAAAAAAUAUUGUAAUAUAUUUGAUAUUACACAAUCUGAAAGUGUAGAUAUGGAGUGAAAAUAUGUAAACUUUACACAACUUCCAUGUAAUUUUAAUAAAUUCAGAUGUAAAUUUGUUGGGGGUGAAGUUUAUCACAGUUGAAUUGUAGUAAAAUGGCACUGUUGAAUCAUUUUAAUUAUCUUCAAUAUCUUACAAUAUUUCUCUGUCAUUUCAGAAUAUCAGAGACAUUGGUAUUAAAGGUAUAUCAAUAUUUAUCAUCGUUUACAGACAAAAGGAAGCAGUUAUGCAGAAUAAUUACAACUCUCUCUAUAAAGUUACCAUUGAAUUACUGUUAAAU
This 3087-nucleotide long non-coding RNA is filed under the name Octopus vulgaris (common octopus). Lineage: Eukaryota; Metazoa; Mollusca; Cephalopoda; Octopoda; Octopodidae. The record is from RNAcentral.